RNAcentral lists this long non-coding RNA (2202 nucleotides) under Equus caballus (horse). Its description in RNAcentral is "lncRNA (ENSECAG00000045075.1)". The record is from RNAcentral. Lineage: Eukaryota; Metazoa; Chordata; Mammalia; Perissodactyla; Equidae.
CCUGCGGGUGUGACAGAGCGGGGGUCUCGAGGGCGCAGACCGGUUUGUCCGCGAUGUGAGCUGGGGGGCCGGCCCAUAGCAGACCUGAGCCUCAGGUCCAUAAAAAGGGGGUGGUCGCCCUAAGAGAUGGUGGCUCUGCCGCAGCUAGGGGGCGAGAACCUGGCGGCGCCUCAGUUUCCCCAGAUGCACUCUGGGAGAGACUGAACCGAUUGCUCCCUGAAGGUCAACAGCUGGAGCUCUUUACUGAGUGCUGACUGCCCAGGCCAGGGCUGUGGCAGGGCGUCCUUUCGGCGGUGAGGCAGGCUGUGUGCCUCGCAGGCACAUGGUGACAUUCAGACAGCAGGCCACGUGAUGGACAGCAGUCGGGGGAAGGAGGGGGGCCCUGGAGUAGCGCAGAGCCAGGCCUGGGCACAGGAGGGCCAGUCACCUGGGGGCUGCCCCCACCCUCACAGCCUUUAUGGGUGGGCCGAUGGGAUCCCAGCUCUGCUCCCUGCCACUGUGGGGUCUUGAGCAAGAACUCUGAGCCUCUCCCAGGACUGGAGAGUGCCAAGAAGGGCCCCUUGGGGGCUGUCCCCCAGGACUCUGCCCCACCCCACCCAGAGACCCACAACUCCUCCCUGUCUGACUGGACUCCUUCUUGCUGCGGCUGGGUCCACUGUGGCUCCGAAGAGGUUCUCUGUGCCUCUGUCUGUCUGUCCGCACCUCCAAGAGCCAGACCCUGCCCCACGGUGGUGGAGAGACACCUGUGCUGCCCACCUAUGUCUGCCUUGGGAGACAGCUGGGGGCCGACCGCGGGGUUUGUGGCUGAAGAGGAAUUCUGCCACAGGAUGAGUCACACCUGCACUCCGCCUAUUGGAGCCACGUGACGCUCGGAUGGGACCGGGCUUUAGACGUUAGAGCUGACGCGGGAGUGAGUUAAGACUUUGGGCUGUUGGGAUGGAAUGUUUCUGCGUGUGAGCAGGACAGGAAUUUGAAGGCCAGGCACGGAAUGCUAUGGCCUGAAUCGUGUCCCCCCCACAGUUCAUAAUUUGAAGCACUGACCCCAACGUGAGGGUGUUUGGAGGGGGGUGACUGGGGUUAGAUGAGGUUGUGAGGGUGGGCCCCCAUGAGGGGAUCAGUGUCCUCAAAGAAGAGACUCCAGAGCUGCUCUCGGCCACAUGAAGACCCAGCGAGAAAGGGCCAUCUGCGACUGGGAAGCGAGUCCAGCCCGGAGCCCGACCAUCCUGGCAGCCUGGUCUCAGACUUCCUGCCCCAGAGGGCAAGAGAGAUGUUUCUGCUGUUUAUGUCACUCGGUCUGUGGGGUUUUGUUAUGGCAGCCCGAGCAGACUGAGACAAAUGGCCUAAUGGCCACAGUUCAGAUCUUAAAGACCACGGCCAGGACGCCCCGAGAGACAGGUGCGAAGCCCCUCCUGACCAGAGGCUGAGCUCUGACCUCAGCCCAAAAGGGAGCCCUCACUAGGGUCAUAGUGUGAGCUUUGACCCUGUCACCAAAUAAGCUCUGAUCCUGGUCACACUCUGAGCCCUGACCCUGGUCACACUCUGAGCCCUGACCUUGGUCACCUUCUGAGUCCUGAUCCAGGUCACACACUGAGCCCUGACCCUGGAUACACAUUGAGUUCUGACCCUGGUCACAUGCUGAGCCUCAUCUCCUGUCACUCAUGCUUUGAGCACACACUGAAUACAGCCCCUGAGCCUGGAUCCUCUGGUGGUCCCACUUUCUGGGAAAGUCUGUCACAAAGGGGCACGAGUCCCUGCUGUCACUCCAUGCAGUGGACAGGGUCUGGGCAUAGCUUUGACGUGACUCAGCCUUAGCCUUCUUCCUUUCCUCUGCUCUGCAGUCACCUCUUGAACUCCAGAUUUUCUUGUUCUCUCUUGACCUAGCUACCUGUCCAACCCCUGAGGCCCCAAACCAGUUGGGUUCCCUGGAGAGCCUGCCUGUUCACACGGCCCAGGAGUUUCCCCACUCUUUGCAGGGUGUGAAGCUGGGGCUGGAAGGACCAGCAGUGGGGCCAGGCCCUGGGGGCAGCAAGGCAGCUGGAGGCAGACCCGUACCUCACAGGGGGUCCUUGCUAACAGAGGACCAUGAUCUCCUGGGGCUGCCACACAGUCCCACACUGGAAGAGACAUCAUUUUUGGAUUAGUUCUUUAUUUUAUGCAGAGUUCACUUUAAAAAAUAAAGAUGGUGCAUUAAUUGGAAAACCA